CUUGAUUAAACCAUAAGAGGUCCAGCCUGCCCAGUGACAUUGUUCAACGGCCGCGGUAUCCUAACCGUGCGAAGGUAGCGUAAUCACUUGUCCUUUAAAUGAAGACUAGUAUGAAUGGCCCCACGAAAGCUAUACUGUCUCCUUUUUCUAAUCAGUUAAACUAAUCUCCCCGUGAAGAAGCGGGGAUAAACAUAUAAGACGAGAAGACCCUAUGGAGCUUUAAACAACUGAAACACUUGUAUACCUCCCUCCUCCUACCCACAUUUAACCCCACAUCUUGUUUCUAGUUUUAGGUUGGGGUGACCACGGAGAAAAAACUAACCUCCACGAUGAAAGAGACAUCUCUAAACAAAAAGACACAUCUUUAUGUAUUAAUACAUUAACCUUUAUUGACCCA
This 397-nucleotide ribosomal RNA is filed under the name Anomaloglossus baeobatrachus. RNAcentral describes it as "partial 16S ribosomal RNA". It matches the Rfam family "Bacterial large subunit ribosomal RNA", at positions 1822 to 2422 of the family's 2925-position model. The record is from RNAcentral. Lineage: Eukaryota; Metazoa; Chordata; Amphibia; Anura; Aromobatidae.